CCUGGCUCAGGACGAACGCUGGCGGCGUGCCUAAUACAUGCAAGUAGAACGCAUGAAGGAGGAGCUUGCUUCUCCGGAUGAGUUGCGAACGGUGUGAGUAACGCGUAGGUAACCUGCCUGGUAGCGGGGGAUAACUAUUGGAAACGAUAGCUAAUACCGCAUAAGAGUAGAUGUUGCAUGACAUUUGCUUAAAAGGUGCAAUUGCAUCACUACCAGAUGGACCUGCGUUGUAUUAGCUAGUUGGUGGGGUAACGGCUCACCAAGGCGACGAUACAUAGCCGACCUGAGAGGGGGUUCGUCCACACUGGGACUGAGACACGCCCCAGACUCCUAGGG
Molecule: ribosomal RNA, 336 nt
Filed under: uncultured bacterium
Lineage: Bacteria
Description: bacterial SSU rRNA
Rfam family: Bacterial small subunit ribosomal RNA
Source: RNAcentral